RNAcentral lists this ribosomal RNA (253 nucleotides) under uncultured bacterium. RNAcentral describes it as "partial 16S ribosomal RNA". It matches the Rfam family "Bacterial small subunit ribosomal RNA", at positions 524 to 776 of the family's 1533-position model. The record is from RNAcentral.
UACGGAGGGAGCUAGCGUUGUUCGGAAUUACUGGGCGUAAAGCGCACGUAGGCGGCUUUUUAAGUCAGAGGUGAAAUCCCGGGGCUCAACCCCGGAACUGCCUUUGAAACUGGAGAGCUAGAAUCUUGGAGAGGCGAGUGGAAUUCCGAGUGUAGAGAUGAAAUUCGUAGAUAUUCGGAAGAACACCAGUGGCGAAGGCGACUCGCUGGACAAGUAUUGACGCUGAGGUGCGAAAGCGUGGGGAGCGAAAGCG